Molecule: long non-coding RNA, 1188 nt
Organism: Hemicordylus capensis (graceful crag lizard)
Lineage: Eukaryota; Metazoa; Chordata; Lepidosauria; Squamata; Cordylidae
Exons: 3
Source: RefSeq, a predicted model, not a curated record
UGGUGACGGUUGGUUAGGAGGAGAGGACUGAGGAAGACAGAAGGACAGAGCUCAGGGCCAGAGUUUCUGUCAUAUUCUUUGUCUCUCUAUGUGAACAUAUAUACCUAUCCUGCACUCGCGAGGCUACGUGACCAAGAAGUUAUUUACUUAUAGCAGGCACGUUUGAGACUUUUCUGCAACUUAAUUCUGGACUCAGACUGCAGAGUUCUUGGAAGGACAUUGGGACAAGCCUACUGGUGUGAGAACAUGGAGCAGCAGUGCAACACUGACUGCAGGAACAGUCCAUGCAGCAUGAGUGAAAGGGUCAGCCACAUAUAAAUAUCCCUACCGACACCUGUUCAGCAAAACCCAAUAAUUAGGGUUGUCUACCACAUGUUGGCCACAUUACAGUGAAUUUUUCUCUAUUCAGUAUACUGGGUUUCUGGACAUUCACAAAUUUUAUCUGGGAUUGUCAGCCUCAGCAUUCACACAAGGAUGUUGAUAUUCAACCAAUUUUGGACUUUCCCUGUAAUACAGGAGUGGAAGAAUAAGGAAGAGGAGGUGACUGAGUCCCAUACACCGUAGCAGGAAAAACCUGUUUCUUGUCCUCUUACAACCCAGUCACUAGGGAGAAUACACCAAUGGCACCUGAGCACUUUCAUUUUUGUCAUUCUGUAUUAACAUAUAUUGAUAUAAUCAUACCAAAUAUCUCCUUAUAUACUGUAUAAGAACAUGUGCUGGAUUUUCAUUUUGUCAAUUAUAGUUUUAAAGCCAAGAACCAAAUUUCAAAAAAUGUUUGGAUUCUUACAAGAUUCGUUAUCAAUGUAUUUGUCUUACCAUACCAAUUACAAAUGGGAAAUUCCUAGUAGUUUUAUUUACAAAUUCGUAGCUGCCAUGCUCACAUUUUCUCCGUGAGACAGUACACAACCAGUCAGUGACAUCUGGUUAUAUACAGCACCCAGAACAGACUCUUAUAGACAUCCAUGAAGUCGGCUUAAUUGAAAUAUCUUUCCAUCUAUAAACAGGAAUGCACAUUUUCUUUCAGAAUAGCAAGGUUUCCUUCAAUUAAAUGAUUGGUAAAUGUAGUGCUUCAUCAUAAAGAGAUUUUACCAGUGUUUGGUGGAUUAAAAGAACUAUGGUCAUUAGCUAGUUCUUCAUAGAACUACUGUGACCUGAAGGGGGGAAAAACAAUGCAGACAACAAUCUUAU